CUGGCGGCGUGCUUAACACAUGCAAGUCGAACGAUGAUGCCCAGCUUGCUGGGUGGAUUAGUGGCGAACGGGUGAGUAACACGUGAGUAACCUGCCCUUCACUCUGGGAUAACUCCGGGAAACCGGGGCUAAUACUGGAUAUGACUCCUCCUCGCAUGGGGUGGGAGUGGAAAGCUUUUGUGGUGGAGGAUGGACUCGCGGCCUAUCAGCUUGUUGGUGAGGUAGUGGCUCACCAAGGCGACGACGGGUAGCCGGCCUGAGAGGGCGACCGGCCACACUGGGACUGAGACACGGCCCAGACUCCUACGGGAGGCAGCAGUGGGGAAUAUUGCACAAUGGGCGAAAGCCUGAUGCAGCGACGCCGCCGUGAGGGAUGAAGGCCUUCGGGUUGUAAACCUC
RNAcentral lists this ribosomal RNA (399 nucleotides) under Inquilinus sp. STM 385. RNAcentral's name for it is "bacterial SSU rRNA". It matches the Rfam family "Bacterial small subunit ribosomal RNA", at positions 36 to 433 of the family's 1533-position model. Lineage: Bacteria; Pseudomonadati; Pseudomonadota; Alphaproteobacteria; Rhodospirillales; Rhodospirillaceae. The record is from RNAcentral.